AUUCCAUGAUGUAGACACUUUCUGAUCAAGUCUUUUAAUCUCUCUCAGGCUUCAUACAAUGAUUCAUUGUCUAGUUGAUAAAAAAUAUUGAUCUCCCCUCUCAGCUU
This is a small nucleolar RNA of Cannabis sativa, 107 nucleotides long. The record is from RefSeq and is a predicted model, not a curated record. NCBI's taxonomy places the organism in Eukaryota, Viridiplantae, Streptophyta, Magnoliopsida, Rosales, Cannabaceae.